This 158-nucleotide ribosomal RNA is filed under the name uncultured Thermus sp. RNAcentral describes it as "partial 16S ribosomal RNA". It matches the Rfam family "Bacterial small subunit ribosomal RNA", at positions 1226 to 1382 of the family's 1533-position model. The record is from RNAcentral. Lineage: Bacteria; Thermotogati; Deinococcota; Deinococci; Thermales; Thermaceae.
UACAAUGCCCACUACAAAGCGAUGCCACCCGGCAACGGGGAGCUAAUCGCAAAAAGGUGGGCCCAGUUCGGAUUGGGGUCUGCAACCCGACCCCAUGAAGCCGGAAUCGCUAGUAAUCGCGGAUCAGCCAUGCCGCGGUGAAUACGUUCCCGGGCCUU